AGUGAACGCUGGCGGUAGGCCUAACACAUGCAAGUCGAACGGCAGCACAGUAAGAGCUUGCUCUUACGGGUGGCGAGUGGCGGACGGGUGAGGAAUACAUCGGAAUCUACUUUUUCGUGGGAGAUAACGUAGGGAAACUUACGCUAAUACCGCAUACGACCUACGGGUGAAAGCAGGGGAUCUUCGGACCUUGCGCGAUUGAAUGAGCCGAUGUCGGAUUAGCUAGUUGGCGGGGUAAAGGCCCACCAAGGCGACGAUCCGUAGCUGGUCUGAGAGGAUGAUCAGCCACACUGGAACUGAGACACGGUCCAGACUCCUACGGGAGGCAGCAGUGGGGAAUAUUGGACAAUGGGCGCAAGCCUGAUCCAGCCAUACCGCGUGGGUGAAGAAGGCCUUCGGGUUGUAAAGCCCUUUUGUUGGGAAAGAAAAGCGGCAGGUUAAUACCCCGCUGUUCUGACGGUACCCAAAGAAUAAGCACCGGCUAACUUCGUG
This 492-nucleotide ribosomal RNA is filed under the name uncultured bacterium. Its description in RNAcentral is "partial 16S ribosomal RNA". It matches the Rfam family "Bacterial small subunit ribosomal RNA", at positions 29 to 507 of the family's 1533-position model. The record is from RNAcentral.